CAGCGAGGCGGCAGUUGGCGCUCACACGACGUGCGUGGCGCGGCGAGUCUGAAGCAGGAGCGCCUGGCGGUUCUUCGAAGAUGGCAUUGACUCCGCACCGGUCCGGCCCGCAGUGUGGAUGAUGUCCGCGUGAUGGUGCAAAUCCCGAUGCUUACUGGAGAAGAAGCAAGUCUUACUAUGGCAAGUCACGACGAUGCGUGACGCAGGUUUGACUCAUCGGCUCCUGCUCACGUCAGCUGAUGACGGCGAGAACGAAGACAAGAGACUCGGCUGGGGAAACGUUGCCAAAGGGCUGCGGUGUUGGGGGUGUCGGCUCCGAUAACCCUGAUGAGAAAAGAAGACCAAUCUACACACUGCGUCCACGUUGGACACAGGUACCCACGGUCACUGGAACAAAGUAGUACUGGCUGUUUUGGAGUAGAACUCGCCAGUAAAGUAUUGGCUUCAUUUGCAUAUAAUAUGCAUAUGACGUGGGAACGGAAGCCAAAGCAAAAACAACCCUGGGUGUCCAACUCCUGCCAUGAGGGCAAGUGAUUGGAAUGAUGAGCUUGAGGAAGGAGCUGGUCAAGGCCAUCACCUGCUGGAGAACCAGCCUGGAAGGAAAAGCUGCAGUGCUCGGGCCCUCUGUGGACACGUGACUUGCAGCCAUCCACCCUAAAAUGACGUGUCACCAACUCCUUGAAAAUAAAAGGUUUGUCUAUAUGUGUCCUGGGAUUGGCCGGCCACCAGACCAGGGUGUACCCCGCCUGCAGGAGAUGCUGAGCCAGGUGAAGUCAGCACACAGCAUUCCAGCAGCUUUCCAAAGCUGCCGCCUGGCUAUGGAGGAGUCAUGCACAACAAAAGGCCAUUCUGGUCUUUCUCACAAAACAGUCUGGGAGAGAUAAAUAAAGCUUAUCAAGCCAAAGUGAUGCUUGAUAAGGUUUACACAUUGUUUGAAGUUUGUCAUAGGGUUAUUUAUAUUCCAUAGUCAUAUUUAUUACAUUCUAUUUGUAUAAAUGUUGUUACAGUGCUGCUUGUAUUCUCUAAAGGAAGGAGUAAGGCAAGGCGAAGGGAUAAGGGGUAAGGCAAGGAGAAGCGCUCAGGCGUAAGGCAAGGGGAAGGGGUAGAUAAUAAUAAUAAUAAUAAUAAUAAUAAUAAUAAUAAUCUCUUUGUUAAAGGCACACUGUCUUCAUUUUACACAUGAAAGCAUGUGUGUCUUGUCUUUUUCCUUGGGUCAAAGGUAAAGGCCUG
This is a non-coding RNA of Doryrhamphus excisus (bluestripe pipefish), 1230 nucleotides long. Lineage: Eukaryota; Metazoa; Chordata; Actinopteri; Syngnathiformes; Syngnathidae. The record is from RefSeq and is a predicted model, not a curated record.